This 497-nucleotide ribosomal RNA is filed under the name uncultured bacterium. RNAcentral's name for it is "partial 16S ribosomal RNA". It matches the Rfam family "Bacterial small subunit ribosomal RNA", at positions 28 to 507 of the family's 1533-position model. The record is from RNAcentral.
GACGAACGCUGGCGGCGUGCCUAAUACAUGCAAGUUGAGCGAUGAAGAUUGGUGCUUGCACCAAUUUGAAGAGCAGCGAACGGGUGAGUAACGCGUGGGGAAUCUGCCUUUGAGCGGGGGACAACAUUUGGAAACGAAUGCUAAUACCGCAUAACAACUUUAAACAUAAGUUUUAAGUUUGAAAGAUGCAAUUGCAUCACUCAAAGAUGAUCCCGCGUUGUAUUAGCUAGUUGGUGAGGUAAAGGCUCACCAAGGCGAUGAUACAUAGCCGACCUGAGAGGGUGAUCGGCCACAUUGGGACUGAGACACGGCCCAAACUCCUACGGUAGGCAGCAGUAGGGAAUCUUCGGAAAUGGACGAAAGUCUGAACGAGCAACGCCGGGUGAGUGAAGAAGGUUUUCGGAUCGUAAAACUCUGUUGGUAGAGAAGAACGUUGGUGAGAGUGGAAAGCUCAUCAAGUGACGGUAACUACCCAGAAAGGGACGGCUAACUACGUG